UGCCUCAUAGCUCAAUGGCAGAGCGACGCGCUGUUAACGCGGGGGUUGUAGGUUCAAGUCCUACUGGGGCAGCCA
This 75-nucleotide transfer RNA is filed under the name Calothrix sp. PCC 7507. Its description in RNAcentral is "tRNA-Asn (GTT) (tRNA-Asn-GTT-2-1)". It matches the Rfam family "tRNA". From Rfam's summary of the family: Transfer RNA (tRNA) molecules are approximately 80 nucleotides in length. Their secondary structure includes four short double-helical elements and three loops (D, anti-codon, and T loops). The record is from RNAcentral. Lineage: Bacteria; Bacillati; Cyanobacteriota; Cyanophyceae; Nostocales; Calotrichaceae. RNAcentral also lists the same sequence under 1 other name.